This 308-nucleotide ribosomal RNA is filed under the name uncultured bacterium. RNAcentral's name for it is "bacterial SSU rRNA". It matches the Rfam family "Bacterial small subunit ribosomal RNA", at positions 28 to 334 of the family's 1533-position model. The record is from RNAcentral.
GAUGAACGCUAGCUACAGGCUUAACACAUGCAAGUCGAACGGAAGUAAGAGCUUCGGUUUUUACUUUAGUGGCGAACGGGUGAGUAACGCGUGAGGAACCUGCCUUUCAGUGGGGGACAACAGUUGGAAACGACUGCUAAUACCGCAUAAUGUUUCCGAUCCGCAUGGAUUGGAAACCAAAGCUUUAUGUGCUGAAAGAUGGCCUCGCGUCUGAUUAGAUAGUUGGUAGGGUAACGGCCUACCAAGUCAACGAUCAGUAGCCGGUCUGAGAGGAUGAACGGCCACAUUGGGACUGAGAUACGGCCCAG